AUUUGAGUGAGUGGCGGACGGGUGAGUAACACGUGGGUAACCUGCCCUAAAGUGGGGGAUAACAUUUGGAAACAGAUGCUAAUACCGCAUAAAACCUAACACCGCAUGGUGUAGGGUUGAAAGAUGGUUUCGGCUAUCACUUUAGGAUGGACCCGCGGUGCAUUAGUUAGUUGGUGAGGUAAAGGCUCACCAAGACCGUGAUGCAUAGCCGACCUGAGAGGGUAAUCGGCCACACUGGGACUGAGACACGGCCCAGACUCCUACGGGAGGCAGCAGUAGGGAAUCUUCCACAAUGGACGAAAGUCUGAUGGAGCAACGCCGCGUGAGUGAAGAAGGUUUUCGGAUCGUAAAACUCUGUUGUUGGAGAAGAAUGUAUCUGAUAGUAACUGAUCAGGUAGUGACGGUAUCCAACCAGAAAGCCACGGCUAACUACGUGCCAGCAGCCGCGGUAAUACGUAGGUGGCAAGCGUUGUCCGGAUUUAUUGGGCGUAAAGCGAGCGCAGGCGGUUUCUUAAGUCUGAUGUGAAAGCCUUCGGCUCAACCGAAGAAGUGCAUCGGAAACUGGGAAACUUGAGUGCAGAAGAGGACAGUGGAACUCCAUGUGUAGCGGUGAAAUGCGUAGAUAUAUGGAAGAACACCAGUGGCGAAGGCGGCUGUCUGGUCUGUAACUGACGCUGAGGCUCGAAAGCAUGGGUAGCAAACAGGAUUAGAUACCCUGGUAGUCCAUGCCGUAAACGAUGAGUGCUAGGUGUUGGAGGGUUUCCGCCCUUCAGUGCCGCAGCUAACGCAUUAAGCACUCCGCCUGGGGAGUACGACCGCAAGGUUGAAACUCAAAGGAAUUGACGGGGGCCCGCACAAGCGGUGGAGCAUGUGGUUUAAUUCGAAGCAACGCGAAGAACCUUACCAGGUCUUGACAUCCUUUGACCACUCUAGAGAUAGAGCUUUCCCUUCGGGGACAAAGUGACAGGUGGUGCAUGGUUGUCGUCAGCUCGUGUCGUGAGAUGUUGGGUUAAGUCCCGCAACGAGCGCAACCCUUAUUACUAGUUGCCAGCAUUUAGUUGGGCACUCUAGUGAGACUGCCGGUGACAAACCGGAGGAAGGUGGGGACGACGUCAAAUCAUCAUGCCCCUUAUGACCUGGGCUACACACGUGCUACAAUGGAUGGUACAACGAGUUGCGAGACCGCGAGGUUUAGCUAAUCUCUUAAAACCAUUCUCAGUUCGGAUUGUAGGCUGCAACUCGCCUACAUGAAGCCGGAAUCGCUAGUAAUCACGGAUCAGCAUGCCGCGGUGAAUACGUUCCCGG
This 1305-nucleotide ribosomal RNA is filed under the name uncultured bacterium. RNAcentral describes it as "bacterial SSU rRNA". It matches the Rfam family "Bacterial small subunit ribosomal RNA", at positions 85 to 1377 of the family's 1533-position model. The record is from RNAcentral.